CUCUACGGGUGGCUGCAGUAAGGAAUAUUGGUCAAUGGACGCAAGUCUGAACCAGCCAUGCCGCGUGGAGGAUGAAGGCCCUCUGGGUUGUAAACUUCUUUUAUAUGGGACGAAAAAGGGUCUUUCUAGAUCAACUGACGGUACCAUGUGAAUAAGCACCGGCUAACUCCGUGCCAGCAGCCGCGGUAAUACGGAGGGUGCAAGCGUUAUCCGGAUUCACUGGGUUUAAAGGGUGCGUAGGUGGGUUGGUAAGUCAGUGGUGAAAUCUCCGAGCUUAACUUGGAAACUGCCAUUGAUACUAUCAGUCUUGAAUAUUGUGGAGGUCAGCGGAAUAUGUCAUGUAGCGGUGAAAUGCUUAGAUAUGACAUAGAACACCAAUUGCGAAGGCAGCUGGCUACGCAUAUAUUGACACUGAGGCACGAAAGCGUGGGGAUCAAACAGGAUUAGAUACCCUGGUAGUCCACGCCCUAAACUAUGGAUACUCGACGUGCGCGAUACACUGUGCGCGUCUGAGCGAAAGCAUUAAG
RNAcentral lists this ribosomal RNA (527 nucleotides) under uncultured bacterium. RNAcentral's name for it is "bacterial SSU rRNA". It matches the Rfam family "Bacterial small subunit ribosomal RNA", at positions 337 to 864 of the family's 1533-position model. The record is from RNAcentral.